Mangifera indica (mango) is the source of this 1072-nucleotide long non-coding RNA. RefSeq lists it as uncharacterized. The record is from RefSeq and is a predicted model, not a curated record. The transcript has 4 exons. NCBI's taxonomy places the organism in Eukaryota, Viridiplantae, Streptophyta, Magnoliopsida, Sapindales, Anacardiaceae.
CCCCCCAAAAGUGAUAUUUAUAUGUGAUAUAUUUUCGCUAAUUAUGUGAUAUAUCUGUAGUUUUUAACAACUUCUUCACCUACUCUUAUGACGGAUUAGGUCUUGACCAAAGCAUGAAAGUUGUAGCCCUAUUUCUUAGCUUUAUAAUACCACUAGGAUCAGGUCAGUUUGAAUUCUAUAAGCCAAUGUUAUGUAUAUAUUAGUGAAACCAACACACAACAUAUGUUUUUAUCAUGAGCAAUAACAAAAUGUAAGCAUCAUAGGAUGAAUGUCAAUAUCAUGACAUAAAAAAAUCGAUGUGGAGGCAUUGCCCUUUUUUCUUUCAAAAAACUUCUCGAAGCAUGUUAAACCAUUUCCAAUGAAUGUCUUUGAAAUACCCAAAUAUUGGUUAUAGGUGAAACUUAAGGGGGCUAUAAAAAAUUUAUGCAAGUAUGGGGGUUAAGUGGAAAUUUUUCCUUUGAUUUAAUAAUAAAGUCAUUAGACUUGUCUUCUUCAACAAGAAGAAAAGCAGAGAGAAAAGAGAGAAAGAAAGGGGGAGAAGGGAAGAAAGAAAAGAAAAGAAAAAAGAAGAAAAGAAAGAAAGAGAGAGAAAAGGGAAGGAAGAGGAAAGGAAUUUACAGGAAAAGGGAAUAAGGUGAAAAAGAAGGAAAAAUAGCAAGAGAUUUUAACACCGGCUUAGAGACAACUCAAAUCAAUGAGUACGACAUAAUUUAGUGCUCUACUUGUGCUUUAUUUCAUGUCAAAUAUGACAGAUUUGAGUGUUCUGCCCGUGAGAGAUUAUACCGGGUAACAUAUAAAGCGAUGGGUUGCAAGUUGAGGUUAGGUGAAGUCAUGCGAGAACUAGAGAUUUUGGUAUAGUUAAAAGCUUACAUUCAUGUUGAUACUACUAUUUCAAAAUAUUUAUUUGUAACUCAUACAUAUAUGACUAAGUAUCCAUAUUUUGACUAGGUAUUCGUAUUUAAAACUCAUACAUAUAUGACUAAGUUAUAAUGAGAUUUUUCCUCUAUAAAUGAAGUCUAAAUUUGUGUAUGGACACAAAUUGAGAACAAGUUAAUCAAAGUUUUUUAUGUGA